RNAcentral lists this long non-coding RNA (806 nucleotides) under Gossypium raimondii (Peruvian cotton). RNAcentral describes it as "long non-coding RNA (GRAI_LNC004166)". Lineage: Eukaryota; Viridiplantae; Streptophyta; Magnoliopsida; Malvales; Malvaceae. The record is from RNAcentral.
UUCGGCAACAAACGGAGAUGAAAUGUUGAAGUGCAAAGUUGACUUUGAGGCUCUAAUCGCACCAUCUUGAUCCCGAACAACCAUUCCUGACGCCGAUCUAAAUUUCCUGAUAUCAAAGGCUGCAUCAAACUGUAUUAUCUCCCUUGAUGUAUCUCUGCCUCGUCCUGCAGCUUCAGUAGACGCGUGAGAAAUCCUACUUCCCCUACUUCCUUCAAGUUCCAUUAGACAACUCUGUAUUUUCUGUGAAAGAUCUAAUCCUGAUAUGGCUUUCUUCUCAUGUAUAAUAUGAUUCCGCGAGCCCCAUAAAACCCAUAGAGCACAACAAAACAAUCGAGUCUGCUCCUUUGUUCCUUUAUCAAAGACCCAGGUGAGCCAACUCCAGACAUUCUGACUUGUAUAUUAUGUUACCCACGUCAUAUUGAGUCUAAUCCAUACUUCCAUGCUUACAGGACAUUUUCGAAACACAUGAUCGCUAUCUUCUUCCUCAGAUUCGCAACGAGGGCAUCUGGAGUUUGCAGUUACUCUUUUAUAUUUCAGAUUAGCCAGGGAUGGGAUAUGGUUCCAGGAAAUCCUCCAUAUAAGGAUUAAAAUCUUUUGUGGUAGUUGUAAAUUCCAUAGGUUCUUGUAAAAUUCUUUAGUUUCGGUCUGUACUAAAUAAUUAUUAGGCUUCAGACUAGCUUCUUGUAAUAGUUUGUAUGCGCUCCGAACUGAGAACUCACCUGAUUGUUCACCUUUCCACACCUGCAUGUCUUCACAGUCUAUUCUUGCUAGAGGAAUCUGCAGAAUUCUCUAGGUGACAUCCCUUU